UUCGCUGCAGUGUGUCUGAAGUGUCCCGCUGGAAGGUGAUAUCAUGCGAGUCAGUAGCUCAACUCCAACUUCUUUAUUUUUCUAAAUACGAAGCCGACACUUUCACACCUGAUCAAUAACAAACGGGGCUGCCGUGCGCCGGGGAAGGCUCGCCCGGUUACCGGCAGCGGGAGAAUAAUGCACUUGACGCUACUUUGCGCUUUCUUUCGUCAAUGCCAAUUUCUUGUUCGAGCGCAAAAUCAUUGUGCCUCAAAAACAACUGAGUGAUUUUGUGAUUUUCUUGCGCACACUUUGUAAGAGGGGAGAGCGAGGGGAGCGAGAGGCGACGAGUUUCGAAUGGAUUACCAUUGGCACGUCGACUUUACGCACGGCGCGUUUGGUAUUGGGUGUGUGGCGGCACCCCGGAUUGGUCGACUGAAGAAAUAAUGACCUUAUUAUGGGAAGCAGUUUCAAAUCCGCGGCGUUAGACAAAGACUGCUGGCUCCGUGCUGAGACACACCUCCACCCCCCCCCCCCCCCCUCUCAGCCAGCUGUGUAUGUGAUGAUUGAUUUGCAAGAAGCAGCCAUUGAUUUUGCACUAUAAAUACUAUAAAUACAAGCAUAACUGCACUUAUGUUUAUACGUAAAUAUAUGAGUACCAUACAUAUUUAUACAUAAAAAUCUACACACACAGAGACGGUCUCACACUGCAGGAAUAAAAGGGGAUAUUAGGUUUUUUUUAUUUGACAAGACAAAUCACCUGUAAUAGUUUUUCGCAAACCAGUCAAUAGGCACAGUGGCUAACCGAAUAUCGAUUUGAUAUAAUCUAAUAUAGAUCUAAUGAAGGCUGAGUUAUGUGAAUAUGAGCUCUGCCAGCUCCUCCCAGUAGAUUCUUCUGUCUGCAGCCACAUUAUCACCGGGUUCAGUGCUUUGUUUGUAUUGCAUUACGAGGUAUAACUGCUACGGUGGAUCAGCUGCCACGGCUGAUUCUGCUGCCGUAUAGAAGAAUAAACACACGCGUGUAUAUCGCCCAAUUA
Molecule: long non-coding RNA, 1016 nt
Organism: Gadus morhua (Atlantic cod)
Lineage: Eukaryota; Metazoa; Chordata; Actinopteri; Gadiformes; Gadidae
Exons: 2
Source: RefSeq, a predicted model, not a curated record